Long non-coding RNA from Anolis carolinensis (green anole), 9341 nucleotides. RefSeq lists it as uncharacterized. Lineage: Eukaryota; Metazoa; Chordata; Lepidosauria; Squamata; Anolidae. The transcript is spliced from 2 exons. The record is from RefSeq and is a predicted model, not a curated record.
UUCUAUCUCUUCAGUAAAUGUUAUUACUAAAUGUGAAACAUUCUAUAUUGCCAUGACAUUUCAACACACUGAACCCCCCACAACUUUUUUUCACGGCUUCUGUAUUUCUCUACCGGGACAUUGGCAAAGCAUAAUUCCAAAACUCUCUCUGAAGUGGACAUCCUGAACAAGAAGAGUUGUUAUGAGGAUGAGAGAAAAGACAUUCAAGCAAAGGCUAGAAACAAGAACAUUCAGCCGAACUGCCUAGAGACUUGCAGACCACGGAGGAUUCUUUCCUGCAAAGUCAGUGUGCUUUCUCAGUCUGUUGCUUGAUGGAUACCUAGCUACUUUUAGAAACUGCUCUGAAAACACUAGGAAGAGAAGUGCAACGGUUCAGACAAUCCAGAAACCAACCCUGAAAUAUUAUAGAAUCCUUCCUCACACUCAAAAUAAUACUCACCAAAUACUUUAAAGAAGAGGAGGAAGAGAACAUGCUGCUGCUGUUGCUGCUACUGCUGAUAAUGUGGAUGACAACUAUGAUGAUGACUUUCCAGUAGACGGGUAAUCCUGGCUGUGCCAGUUAUCCAGAAACAGUUCUGAAACAACAUGCCUUAUUUUUCUUGUUGUUGCUAUCAUCUCACCAUGUUUUGUUACUACUAAGUCCUCUAGAUCCUUUUCACAUUUAUUGCUUUCCAGCCAUGUUUCACUUAUCCUAUAUUUGUGUAUUUCAUUUAUCCUCUUGAAUUUUGGUACCCUGCAUUUAUUUCUGUUGAUAUUCAUUUUAUUAGUUUUGGCCCAACUCUCUACUCUGUCAAAGUCUUUUUGAAAUCUGGAGUAUGCACUAACCUCACCUAUCCCAAUUAGUAAGUGUGCCUUCUCUUCUAUAAUUUAAGACAUUUAUAAAGAUGGUAAAUGACACCAGGUUCAUUACAGAACUCCCAAUGCACCCCUCUAGCCACUUCUCUCCAGGAUGAAAAGGAACCACUGGGGACACUUCCAGGCAGCUGAGAAAUACAUGACAAAGCAGGUUUUCAGGGGCUUUGUGAAUCACAAGGAGAGGCAGGUAAGAAAUAAAAUUAUUAUUAUUAUUAUUAUUAUUAUUAUUAUUAUUAUUAUUAUUAUUAUUAUUAUUAUGCUGGAUUUCAUAUCACAAAAUCACAAGUCGAACACUUCCCAAGCGUUUAGGACUUUGUGAUGUAUUUUCGGAUGAUGCACGCAGAUCCCAGCAGGGUGGCCUUUUGCAGUUGGCAGAUCGUAAUUUUGUCAAUGUCUAUUGUUUCCAAAUGCCGGCUGAGAUCUUUUGGCACGGCACUCAAUGUGCCCAUCACCACCGGGACCACCUGCACUGGUUUCUGCCAGAGUCUUUGAAGUUCAAUCUUGAGGUCCUGAUAGCGGCUGAGUUUUUCCUGUUGUUUUUCGUCAAUGCAACUGUCACCUGGGAUGGCGACAUCAAUGAUCCAAACCUUUUUCUUUUCCACAACUGUGAUGUCUGGUGUGUUGUGUUCCAGAACUUUGUCAGUCUGGAUUCAGAAGUCCCACAGUAUCUUUGCGUGCUCAUUCUCCAAUACUUUUGCAGGUUUGUGAUCCCACCAGUUCUUUGCUGCUGGAAGGUGGUACUUGAGGCAUAAGUUCCAAUGAAUCAUUUGGGCCACAUAGUUGUGCCUCUGUUUGUAGUCUGUCUGUGUGAUUUUCUUACAGCAGCUGAGGAUAUGAUCAAUGGUUCCGUCGGUUUCCUUGCACAGUCUGCAUUUUGGGUCAUCAGCUGAUUUUUCGAUCUUGGCCUUAAUUGCAUUUGUUCCAAUGGCUUGCUCCUGGGCUGCAAGGAUCAGGCCUUCUGUCUCCUUCUUCAGUGUCCCAUUUGUGAGCCAGAGCCAGGUCUUCUUAUCAGCUUUUCCUUCAAUUUUGUCAAGGAACUUUCCAUGCAAUGUUUUGUUGUGCCAGCUGUCAGCUCUAGUUUGUAGUGCGGUUUUCUUGUACUGAUUCUUUGUCUUCUGUGCUUUGAGGAGUUUCUGAUUUUUGACUUCAAUCAAAGCAGGUUCUUCACUUUGCUUUACAUAUUCUGCCAGGGCAUGUUCUUCUUCUUUGACUGCUUGUUUUACUUGUAAGAGUCCUCUGCCACCUGAUCUUCUAGGCAGAUAUAGCCGGUCAACAUCACUGCGAGGGUGCAGUGAAUGAUGAAUGGCCAUGAGUUUUCUUGUUUUUCUGUCCAAAUUGUCCAGUUCUGUGUCCAAUUUAUAAUGCCAGCAGUAUAUCUUAUGACAGGUAUGGCCCAGGUGUUUAUGGCCUUGAUGGUGUUGCCUCCAUUGAGCUUAUUAUUAUUAUUAUUAUUAUUAUUAUUAUUAUUAUUAUUAUUACCUAUCAGCAAAACUGUUUAGCCACAGUUCGCCUGCUAAAAAUAUCAUGGAGGAUAUUGCCAAAAAUUUUAGUAAAAUUAAGAUAUACUGUAUUCAUUGCACUCCCCUGAUCUACCAAGUUUGCAAUUCUACCAAAAAAAGAAGAUGAAAGGGAAAGAUUAGUCUGGGAUGACUUGAUUUUGAGAAACCUAUGCUGGAUCAUAAUAGUCAAGGAAGUUUCUACACACUAACAGUGUGCAGAGAAUGACUAUUCUAGAAUCUUUCUUAAUAUCGACAUCAAGCUAACUGGUUGAUAAUCCUGUAUUUUGCCCUUUUUGAAAACAUGGGCAAUAUUUCCCUUCUCCAAUUUGCCAGUACCUCUGCUGUUCUCCAAGUAUCCUCAAAAAUUAUCGGUGGAAGCUCAAAGAUUACAAGUGCCUUUAGUACUCUUAGAUGCAGUUUAUGUGGCCCUGGAGACUUGGGUUAAUCUAAAGUAGCUAGAUACUCCUUUUCUACACUUUUACCUAUUCCAGACGACAGGGUCUUUAUUGCAUCAUUUGUUCUAUUUUCACCAAUUAAAGUUAUUUUUCCUUUUGAGAGAAAAGAAAAGCAAAUAAGGUAUUGGGCAGUUUGGUCUUCUCUCUGUCCACCACUAGCAUUUCACCGUAUCUCAUAGGAUUAUGUGUUCCAACAUAUAUCUGAGGGAAGGGGUAAUGGUCAAAGGGUUUGAUGAAUAUUGUCAGCCUCUCUAUUACACCAUGGAUCUUCACCCCUAGGAGAAAGCUUCCCUACACAUUACUGCUUCUGUUCCUCUCAACAGGGAAUCACUUACUACAAAUCAUGUCUCUUCUUUCUCUGGGAACUGAUAUUAGGCCUUCUUUUUUGGAAAUCCCCAAGCCUUUAGAGAAGUGAGGCUAUUAUCCCUGUUCUUGCACCUCAUAACAUCUCAGCAAGAGGAAAGCUUGAUAUUUAUUGUGUCAAUCGAAACUUGUAACAAGGUCUUUCAUAGCUUUGCUUCUGUAUGCAGUUUUUUUCCAAGCAGUUUUCUUCUGUGUUUGGGAAUUACUACCCUUUGUAGAUUCAUUUCCUCUGUCUUACCCUUCAAGAGGGUAGGGAGUCUGCUCCAUCCUUUUUUUAAACCUCCCCCCACCACAAAACCUUUAUUUUUCAUCAAAAAUUGAGGUGUAGACACACAGGCUUUUGUACCUUCUCUUUCAGCAGGGCAACCAGCUUGCUCUUCCUGCAGUUAUAGCCCCAUAGAAAUCUGGCAAGAAAAUAAAUAUGGCACCAUCGCUGUAACAAUUGUCACUGUUUGGCAUCCUGUAUAUGCAAUGGAACAAGCCCCCUAUAAAAUUCCCUGCUAAAUGCCCGCAAAAAUAUGUUUGCUGCUUCCUAUUUUCCAAGCUCCUGAGGCUGAGGCUCCAUCAGCAAGACCAUAUAAUGCAGUUUCAAGUAGCAUUAUAUGGCAGUGUAGACUUAUAUAAUGCAGUUCAAUGAAGUUAAGCUGAACUAUAUGAGUCUACAAUGACCACAUAAUGCAGUUUCAAACAGCAGAUGGGGCCUGAGGCAGCAGCUUAUAGAGCUAUCAUCUGCUAAAUCUUUUCCUCAAAAGAUCUGUGAUGCAGGAGAUGUCUUAUCCCUUAGAUCAAGCUGACGGGACAAAACUACAGAGACACACUGUAAAGAAGUGUGUUUUUAUUUUGAUUUAUAGAUGUCAUGUUUAAUUUCGUUUUAAAAGUCAGGUUUAACUAUGUUUAAAAGGGUAAGUAUUAGUCACCAGUGCGUGGGGGAUGGUAACCAGCUCAGCAUUCUGAGGCAGGUUGCCAUAGUAAUGAGGGUGGAGUCAACUGCCGUUUGAAGAAAAAGGAGGGAAUGUUUUAAAAAACAGUUGAGUCUGUGGUCAGUAAACCACAGGGAAGGUUAGUUUUAGAGUUGGUUUUAGUUUAACUUGUGGCCUGCAACAUGUUGGAUUGCAAUUCCCAUCAUUCAUCAUCAUUGCCGAUGUUGGAUAGAAUUCAUGGGAGCUUCAAUCAGCCAUAUUUUGCCCACUCCAGAUCUAAACAAAAGUUUGAAUGAGCUUAUGAGAUGUAAUAUAUUAUCAUUGUAUGAUUUAUUUUGAAAAGCAUCUGUAUGUUUUAAUACCAUAUUGCUAAUAAAUAGUUUGAAUUCAAAGUUCUAUAGUCACAUAAUUCCCUGAUUUACUUAUCCUACAAGAAAGUUUCAGAAUCUCACAAUGGCUUUAUGAAUAUCAAGUAUUUAUAGCUUCCCAUCACUGCUCUUAAACUAUGUACUUAGAGGAUUAGAUGAAAAGGAUUAAAGACAAAAAGAAACAAAUAGUUGUAGAUCUGUACUCGUCUUGUUUUAAUUUUUUCUCUAAUCCAGAAAUGCUAAAGGAUUUUGAAUUUAAAACAGAAAAUCUUUGGACAGUAUGUGCUUUAUUUUCAUAUCUCUCUGUUUCUCUAUUUUAUUUUAACUUUUUGCAGGAAAUGACAGCGACUUUGAAGGAAUAAAAGAGGGUAAAUUAAAAGGAAACAGAUUUUAACAUGCACAUGCUAAUUACAUUUAGGGCAUUGGUAGACAAUUCCAUGAACUCAAGGACUUGGACCUUUUAAUCCAUAAACAUCAUUAAAUGUGCCACUGAAAUGGCAUCAAAAGAUAUGGAGUGGAGUUUUAGUAAUUUUCCUUGUUUUGAAGGCAGGGGUGGGGUCUGAAGAAUGGAGAGAAAGAAUACUACUUGAGAUAUUUUUGUUCACUUAUUGUUGUUUGUAGCAAUGUAGCAGAAUAUGCAGUAGAGGUGAAGAAUAUAUUUAAGGGAUGAGAUUUAAUAAAUAGAGUCCCAGAAGAACUAUGGACAGAGGUUUGCACCAUUGCUUAGACAACAAAGUAUGUCCCAAAGGGGGAAAAAAACCCAAGAAGGCAAGAUGGUUGUCUCCUGAGACACUGGAAGUAGCCCAAGAAAGAAGGAAAGCAAAAGGAACCAUGAUAGGGGAAGAUAUGUCCAAUUAAAUGUACAAUUCCAGAGGUUAGCCAGAAGAAAUAAGGAAUUAUUUUAAAGAAGCAAUGCAUGGAAGUGGAAGAAGACAAUAGAAGAGAAAGGACAAGAAACCUCUUCCAAAAUUUUAGAAACAUCUGAGGUAAAUUUCAGGCAAAAAUGGGUAUGAUCAAAAACAAAGAUGGCAAGGACUUAACAGAAGCAGAGGGGACAAGAGAAGGUGGUGAGAAUAUACAGGAUAGGAAGGAUAAUAAUAUUGAGGAUAGUUGUGACAGUGUGGUGUGUGAAUUAGAACCACAUAUCUUGAGGAGUGAGGUUGAAUGGGCCUUAAGAAGCAUUGCUAAUAACAAGGCAGCAAGAGGCGACAGGAUUCCAGCUGAACUGUUUAAAAUCUUGAAAGAUGAUACUGUCAAGGUGAUGCAAGCCAUAUGCCAGCAAAUAUUGAAAACACAAGAAUGGCCAUCAGAUUGGAAAAAAUAAACUUAUAUCCCCAUACCAAAAAAGGGAAACGCUAAAGAAUGCUCAAACUUUUGUACAGUGGCACUUAUUUCACAUGCUGGUAAAGUAAUGCUAAAGGUCCUGCAAGGUAAACUCCAGCAAAGAAUGGAGCGAGAGUUGCCAGAUAUACAGGCUGAGUUUAGAAAAGGCAGAAGAAUGAGAGACCAAAUUGUCAAUAUCUGCUGGAUAAUGGAGGAAGCUAGGAAGUUUCAGAAAAACAUCUAUUUCUGUUUUAUUGACUAUUCUAAAGCCUAUGACUGCGUGGAUCAUCAUAAAUUGUGGCAAGUUCUUGGUGGUACGAGGAUACCAAGUCACCUUGUCUGAAAGACAACCCAGAUAGAGGAUACAGAAGGAAGCCAGUAAAGUGUAACCAUUAAAGAAGAAAUUAGUUAAGUUUCAAGCUUCAAUCUGUCCAGCAAAACAAGUCUUCAUUAGUCACACCCUGGGAGGAGUUAGAGUACUGAUCUUUCAUAAAAUUAAAAUUUUUAAUUGUUAUAAUUAAACACAUGAUAUAUUAUUAUAUAUGGGCUCACUGAUUUCAGAACACACUACAAUGUGUCCACCACAUCUUCAAGAAAUAAUAACUUUCCAAGGAAACCAAAAAUAGUAGCACCACUGCUAGAGAGGAGAGUCCAGAGAGAGACUUUCUACUAUCUGGUUUACGUUCAAGUGUGCAAAAGGAAUAUCAGACUGGAUACAAAGUUUUGCUCCUACAAGAAAGCUCAAACAAUCCAUAUGAAGUUCAAAAACACAACGCUGCAUCCAAAAAUACUUUACUUCUAGCCAUCUCACCAUCUGUACUCCCUGACCAUUCCUAUACAAACUCCAAAACACGAUAUCCCCCUCAGCUCCUACUAAACAUUUCAACAGGCUCUCCUUUGCAGAAUACAUGGGAAAAUGUGGAACUGUAUCUUCUGCAUUUACCUCUAUGAUUUCCAUAUGUGCAGCUAUACACAUUCAAGAAUCCCAAAUGGAAAGUGGUUGCUGGUUGAACUGAAGGCCCUACAUGCAAAGAGAUCCUUUUUGUAAGGUCCACCAAAUGCAUGAAGCAGGGAAGGAUGCCCUAUUCUCCCUCUCGGCAUUUUCACAUGGGGAUGGGAAGGACCAGAGACAUGAACUUGUCAAAGUUCAGCUUCAUUUUUGCUCCAUAUACUUUUCAUUUGGAAGUAUUAAAGGGUAGUAACUAUCUAUUACAGUUUGAGACAAAUGCUAAAGAGCUAAACAAACAGCUGGAAAACAAAAUAACCUUCUGCAGAAGAAGAGAAAGGUAUCAAGAAGAAAGGAAGCACCAAGCAGAAUCCUUUCAUUCUUGUUGGGAGAGAUCCCCUUCCUAGCUUUGCUCCUACUGUAUCAUUCAGUCUCCCAUUCUAUUGUUUUCCUAUUAAUUCUGUACUUGCAUAUUAGCUGUUACAUGGGCUUAGUUUCAUUAUUUACAUUUCAAAAAGAAUAUCACUCUUAAUCUGCUUAAUUGUACUAAUCAGGAGUUCCAAGCGGAGCAUUUGAAGUCUUUUGAAUGUAGCUGUUAUCUUUGCUAUUAAUCUCUUUUUUGUAUGUGUGUGUGUUUUGUAUAUUGAACAAACUGGUUGAUCUUGGAAUGCACAAAGAAGACAAACAUAAGCAUCAAUCUGACCUUGAAAUUUCCCAAUGGACAGACAAAGACAUAGCUGAUGAAAUACACUUGCCCUUUUUGCUCACGUGGCUAGCAAAAUAACUCUAUGUAUGCUUCAGAUGAAUGAACCUAACCCUUGUGUGUGCCCAGAUCAUGUGGAUGCCCUUUUAAAAUGGACUGGCAAUACAAAUAUGAUUUGAGUUUUAUUAUUUCUGUCAGACAGAAUGAUCACUAUGAUUUGUGUUCAUAUAUCAUUUUGAGACAGUUAAUCUCUGAGCUUCUCUUCAGGAUGGGUCAUAAGGUACAUAUGGAGUGAAACUCCCAUCAGCUCUAGAUAGCCUAUUCAAUGGUAAGGAUAGGGUUGUUGGCCCCAAAACAUCUGGAGGACCAUAACUACUUCUUCUAAGGACAUCCACAAUUUUCUUUUAUUUUUCUUCAAGCACAUUUGAUAAUUUAAAUGUACCCUUUGUUAGCAUUGUUGAUUUUUAACUCCAAGCAUUCACAGUGAACCAUACUUUUAUCCUACUUCACUAUGUAUAUUACAUUCUACCUGAAGACAGGACUUAACUUUAAGGGUAAUGACUUACAUACAUGCUACUAUUGAGUUGUAUCAUUUCAUGGCUUCUAUUGAUUCCUACCACCGUAAGAUAAUCUCUAGGUUUCUUAAUGUAAAAACUACCAUGUUUCUUUUCUAUUUCAGCUGCCGCACAGGGGACCCUGUGUUCCACUUAAUGCUAGAGACAGACCCAAAGAAUUGUCAGACAUUAUAUUUUGAAAACAGAACAAAGGAAGAGCUUGUGUGGUUUAUCUCAAAAACCCACAGUGCAAUCUGACGUCUAUCUCAUUCCUAGCAAAGUUAACUUAAGUCUAACAAACACCUUCUACAUUCUGCAUGCCACUUCAAGAUUACUACAAAUAGCAAAUUUUGAAGCUUCAACAUCAAGUCCUGGUUUUGCUUUUCCUUAUCUCAUUCUCUCUCCCCGUCCAGAAUUGCUUAACAUCCUAGCUGAAGGAAAAUGGAAGAGCUAACCCAAGGUUUCUUUCUACUUGCAACAUUUAACUGGUCCAUAUAAAUAUGGCUUUUGCAUUCCCUACUGCUAGACCAUAACUAUCCAAUAUCUUUUGCAUAUAUAGUAGAUGUUUGAUAUUCACUGGAGCUUGGAUAUCAAAAUCUGUGGGAUGCUCUACUUGUAUUGCAUACAAUAAUGUAUUAAAAAGAAGCCUGUUAUAUAAAAUGGCAAAAUCAAUUUUUGAGGGGAAAUAUUUUCAAGCCAUGGAUGGUUCAAUCCAUGGAUACAGAAGGCCAACUGUUCAAUUUGGUUCUCACUAACACACAAUGGUGAACAAACAUCUGGUUUUAGAUGGAAUUAUCUUUGGUGAAAAUGGCUGAAUACAGCAUCAGUAAAUAUUUGGCAUACAUACAUAAUAAUAUUACUUGAUGAAAUACAUGGACUGGCUGUACCUAAAUAAGAGCUGUGUGGCAUGAUUUCUUUAUGAGGGUCCUCCAAGAAGAUCAGAAUGAGACACAGCAUACAUUCAUGAAAUGUCAUAUACUAUGAGACAUCCACUGUUUAUACGAAAUGGUAAUGCAAGAUACUGCAAAAAUUGAAAGAAAAGGCAUACCUAGUGCACAUCCUGAAAGUUUAAGAUCAAAGGAAUACACCGAGUACAAGGAAGAAGGAAGUUAUGAAAAAGUCAUGUAUUUAUCUAGGUUCACCAUUAAAAAACUUACACAUAAGUUUCCAAUGGUGUAUUUAAUGGAAUACUGAUUUGAGUGUUUCUCCUUAUCAUAGAUCCAUACCUGACAUAUGCUUGUAUACUGUCGAUCUUAAUCCAUAAUGAUGUCUGAAGAAAGUUUAUAUAUUUUGGUCAAGCCCCUAAACAUAAUGGCUUGUGUUCAUGUGUAUGGAAUAAACACAUCCAGAAUUGA